Molecule: ribosomal RNA, 402 nt
Filed under: uncultured bacterium
Lineage: Bacteria
Description: bacterial SSU rRNA
Rfam family: Bacterial small subunit ribosomal RNA
Source: RNAcentral
UCGGGAAUUUUGGGCAAUGGGCGAAAGCCUGACCCAGCAACGCCGCGUGAGGGAUGAAGUAUUUCGGUAUGUAAACCUCGAAAGAAUGGGAAGAAUAAAUGACGGUACCAUUUAUAAGCUCCGGCUAACUACGUGCCAGCAGCCGCGGUAAUACGUAGGGAGCAAGCGUUGUUCGGAUUUACUGGGCGUAAAGGGCGCGUAGGCGGCGCGGUAAGUCACUUGUGAAAUCUCUGAGCUUAACUCAGAACGGCCAAGUGAUACUGCUUUGCUAGAGUGCGGAAGAGGCAACCGGAAUUCUUGGUGUAGCGGUGAAAUGCGUAGAUAUCAAGAGGAACACCUGAGGCGAAGGCGGGUUGCUGGGCCGACACUGACGCUGAUGCGCGAAAGCCAGGGGAGCAAACG